CGGCGAUCCACUGAGGAAACCAGGUGCAAAUGUGUUUUAUGCGGGCCGAUUGAUAUUAUUUAGCGGAGCAACUGGGCAUGUAAUUACCUGGUCUAUGGUUCCAGACAAGAUGGAAUCCUACUAUUCACCGCAGGUGUACUUCGACAGCCACGGGGAGAAGGUUGUACUGUUUGGAACUGGCGGAGAAACAAUUGGAGGCGCACUUUAUGUGAUCAAACUCAAUGAUUUCAUUCGUGGUCAUAUGCAAAUGGCAAGAUGUUUAUAUAAAGAUUCAUAUAAGGGAGUGAUUACUCCCCCAGUGUU
Molecule: long non-coding RNA, 303 nt
Organism: Anneissia japonica
Lineage: Eukaryota; Metazoa; Echinodermata; Crinoidea; Comatulida; Comatulidae
Exons: 4
Source: RefSeq, a predicted model, not a curated record